This 384-nucleotide long non-coding RNA is filed under the name Homo sapiens (human). RNAcentral describes it as "HSALNT0057573". The record is from RNAcentral. Lineage: Eukaryota; Metazoa; Chordata; Mammalia; Primates; Hominidae.
UUGGUUUGCCAAGUCAUUCUGAAUCUAAUGAUCUUUGGGUGAUUCCCCAGACUGAGGAGGAAGCAACAGCAGCUGUGCAUUGGGCCCACAGAAAGAAUGGUUGAAGACUGCAGUGUAUUUUGAGUUUCUGCUUUGGAGGGGAGGGUUGGUCCUGAUGCCCACAGACGAAUGGCCUCCUGGUUCCAAUCAAGGCCAGCCCAAGAGUCUGCUUCUGGAACCCAAACCUAAGGGACUCAGCUAUGUUUGUGUUGACCUACUAUCAAUAAAGAAGAUCCUUAUUUAAGAACAGGCCACCUUCUGUUUUACACAUAUACUUUCUGACCCUAGAAAUUGUUCAGAAGGUGGAAUGUUUUGCUGUUUCAAUGAGAUCACAUGUGUAAAGGC